GACGAACGCUGGCGGCGUGCUUAACACAUGCAAGUCGAACGGAAAGGCCCUGCUUUUGUGGGGUGCUCGAGUGGCGAACGGGUGAGUAACACGUGAGUAACCUGCCCUUGACUUUGGGAUAACUUCAGGAAACUGGGGCUAAUACCGGAUAGGAGCUCCUGCUGCAUGGUGGGGGUUGGAAAGUUUCGGCGGUUGGGGAUGGACUCGCGGCUUAUCAGCUUGUUGGUGGGGUAGUGGCUUACCAAGGCUUUGACGGGUAGCCGGCCUGAGAGGGUGACCGGCCACAUUGGGACUGAGAUACGGCCCAGAGUCCUACGGGAGGCAGCAGUGGGGAAUAUUGGCCGAUGGGCGGAAGCCUGAUGCAGCAACGCCGCGUGCGGGAUGACGGCCUUCGGGUUGUAAACCGCUUUCGCCUGUGACGAAGCGUGAGUGACGGUAAUGGGUAAAGAAGCACCGGCUAACUACGUG
RNAcentral lists this ribosomal RNA (468 nucleotides) under uncultured bacterium. RNAcentral's name for it is "partial 16S ribosomal RNA". It matches the Rfam family "Bacterial small subunit ribosomal RNA", at positions 28 to 507 of the family's 1533-position model. The record is from RNAcentral.